RNAcentral lists this ribosomal RNA (450 nucleotides) under uncultured bacterium. RNAcentral's name for it is "partial 16S ribosomal RNA". It matches the Rfam family "Bacterial small subunit ribosomal RNA", at positions 354 to 796 of the family's 1533-position model. The record is from RNAcentral.
GUGGGGAAUCUUCCGCAAUGGACGAAAGUCUGACGGAGCAACGCCGCGUGAGUGAAGAAGGUUUUCGGAUCGUAAAGCUCUUUCGUUAGGGACGAACGUGCUCUUUGUGAAUAAUGAGGAGUAAUGACGGUACCUAAAUAAGAAGCCACGGCUAACUACGUGCCAGCAGCCGCGGUAAUACGUAGGUGGCAAGCGUUGUCCGGAAUUAUUGGGCGUAAAGCGCGCGCAGGCGGGAUAUCAAGUCUGUCUUAAAAGUGCGAGGCUCAACCUCGUGAGGGGACAGAAACUGGUAUUCUUGAGUGUAGGAGAGGAAAGUGGAAUUCCAAGUGUAGCGGUGAAAUGCGUAGAGAUUUGGAAGAACACCAGUGGCGAAGGCGACUUUCUGGACGAUGUCUGACGCUGAGGCGCGAAAGCUAGGGGAGCGAACGGGAUUAGAAACCCCGGUAGUCC